Molecule: small nucleolar RNA, 108 nt
Filed under: Buceros rhinoceros silvestris
Lineage: Eukaryota; Metazoa; Chordata; Aves; Bucerotiformes; Bucerotidae
Description: Small nucleolar RNA SNORD90
Rfam family: Small nucleolar RNA SNORD90
About the family: snoRNA HBII-295 belongs to the family of C/D snoRNAs.
Source: Rfam by way of RNAcentral
AAUUCCCUUUUUUGUGUCUUAUGAUGAAGCUUCAUAGGGCAGAUUCUGAGGUGAGAAUUUCUCUCCACUGAUACUCUCUCUAUGCCAUCUGAAGACACUGCAUGCUGU